AAAUUAGUUUAUCAAAAACAUUAAAUUGCAAAUUUAAAAUUAAUUUUGAAAUCAAUAUAUGAUG
Molecule: transfer RNA, 64 nt
Filed under: Tetragnatha cf. tincochacae DDC-2018
Lineage: Eukaryota; Metazoa; Arthropoda; Arachnida; Araneae; Tetragnathidae
Description: tRNA-Cys
Source: RNAcentral